RNAcentral lists this ribosomal RNA (1204 nucleotides) under metagenome. RNAcentral's name for it is "bacterial SSU rRNA". It matches the Rfam family "Bacterial small subunit ribosomal RNA", at positions 8 to 1200 of the family's 1533-position model. The record is from RNAcentral.
AGAGUUUGAUCAUGGCUCAGAUUGAACGCUGGCGGCAUGCCUAACACAUGCAAGUCGAACGGCAGCACAGCAGUAGCAAUACUGUGGGUGGCGAGUGGCGGACGGGUGAGGAAUGCGUCGGAAUCUGCCCAGUUGUGGGGGAUAACUAGCCGAAAGGUUAGCUAAUACCGCAUACGACCGAGAGGUGAAAGCGGGGGACCGUAAGGCCUCGCGCGAUUGGAUGAGCCGACGCCGGAUUAGCUUGUUGGUGGGGUAAAGGCCUACCAAGGCGACGAUCCGUAGCUGGUCUGAGAGGAUGAUCAGCCACACUGGAACUGAGACACGGUCCAGACUCCUACGGGAGGCAGCAGUGGGGAAUAUUGGACAAUGGGCGCAAGCCUAAUCCAGCAAUGCCGCGUGUGUGAAGAAGGCCUUCGGGUUGUAAAGCACUUUUGUCCGGAACGAAAAGCGAUGGAUUAAUACUCUGUCGUGCUGACGGUACCGGGUGAAUAAGCACCGGCUAACUUCGUGCCAGCAGCCGCGGUAAUACGAAGGGUGCAAGCGUUAAUCGGAAUUACUGGGCGUAAAGCGUGCGUAGACGGCCUGUUAAGUCGGAUGUGAAAGCCCCGGGCUCAACCUGGGAAUGGCAUCCGAUACUGGUGGGCUAGAGUGCGGUAGAGGAGAGCGGAAUUCCCGGUGUAGCGGUGAAAUGCGUAGAGAUCGGGAGGAACAUCCGUGGCGAAGGCGGCUCUCUGGACCAGCACUGACGUUGAGGCACGAAAGCGUGGGGAGCAAACAGGAUUAGAUACCCUGGUAGUCCACGCCCUAAACGAUGUCGACUGGAUGUUGGGCACACUUUGGUGCUCAGUAUCGAAGCUAACGCGUUAAGUCGACCGCCUGGGGAGUAUGCGCGCAAGCGUGAAACUCAAAGGAAUUGACGGGGGCCCGCACAAGCGGUGGAGUAUGUGGUUUAAUUCGAUGCAACGCGAAGAACCUUACCUGGCCUUGACAUGUCUGGAAUCCUGCAGAGAUGCGGGAGUGCCUUCGGGAAUCAGAACACAGGUGCUGCAUGGCUGUCGUCAGCUCGUGUCGUGAGAUGUUGGGUUAAGUCCCGCAACGAGCGCAACCCUUGUCCUUAGUUGCCAGCGCGUAAUGGCGGGAACUCUAAGGAGACUGCCGGUGACAAACCGGAGGAAGGUGGGGAUGACGUCAAGUCAUCAUGGCC